Molecule: long non-coding RNA, 1681 nt
Organism: Daphnia pulex (common water flea)
Lineage: Eukaryota; Metazoa; Arthropoda; Branchiopoda; Diplostraca; Daphniidae
Exons: 6
Source: RefSeq, a predicted model, not a curated record
AAUGCAAAAUAACAGAACCUAUUCGAUCUUUCGUCGAUACAAUGGCUAAGUUGUACCACACCGAGACACUCAUCGUCUUCUUCUGCGCUUUUUUAUUAAGCGUCACGGCAAGUGGCCAACAUCCGAAUCACUUAUUGCCGCAAACGAAAGACGGCACAAUAAAUCUUCGUUUAGAAUACGAAACUUUGAAAACUCGUUUUGAGGAGUUUGUUGGUUCCGUUGAGAUUCAGUUUGACCGCCUGAGAGAGGAAGUCCCGACAGUUAAAAACAAAUAAGGCUACCGAAAAGAAUUCACAUACAAGUGUCGCCUCUAUAGGUGUAAUUCCAAGAUCUUGUCAUGAAGCCCGAUUGGCUGACCCUUCAUUGUCCAACGGCGUUUACUGGAUCGAUCCCGACGGCCAAAAUGUGGAGACGACCCCAUCCAAGUAAAUUGCGACAUGUCCUCAGGAACGACAAUUAUUGGACACGACACCGAAGCAUCGACAAACGUCGGCCAUUGCACGGAACCCGGGUGUUAUACGAGACCAAUCGUGUACCAAGCAUCACUAAAACAGAUCAUAGCCCUUACACAACUUUCAUCAGAUUGUCGGCAGUCAAUUAAGUACGAGUGCUAUACUCAGCUCCACUGCAGUUUGAUGGCAUCGAAUAUUCCUGGUGGAACGACCGGAACGGUAACGAGCAAUAUUACUGGCACGGAAACGAUAAUUCCACACACACGUGCCUGUGCGGAAUCGGAAAAAUCUGUGUCGAUCCUAGCAAAAACUGCAACUGUGACGCGAUUGUUCCCGUCGACUUGGUCGACGAAGGUGAGAUAACUGCGAAGGAAAGUAUGCCCAUCACACGUUUGAAUUUUGGAAGAACGAUCCCUGCAGCGUCGAGUGCAUUCACACUUUAGGAAAAUUGAAAUGCUCCGGCCAGAAGUUGGUCGACGGAAUGCCAACCUCUUGCGUGGAAUUGUGGCAGAUCGGUCAUGUCCUCAACGGCUUGUACUUGAUCAAGGGCGCGUCUCAAGUGGAAACAGUAUAUUGUGACUUUAGCAAAACUUCAACCGACGCAGGAUUUGAAACGUGGAUUGGCUUUGCUGAUGUCAAAUCAUCAUCUGUUUAUUUUUAUGUACAGAGGAAUACGACUUACUCAACUAACAACACUGUCGUUCCAUUUGAAAUCACAAGAACUAAUGUGGGAAAUGCCAUGGACCCUUUAACUGGAAUAUUCACAGCACCAAGACCGGGGAAAUAUUUUUUCGGUUAUUCUGGAAUUGCUGAUGUCACUCAAGGAACCAAUUUUGCACGCGUUGAUUUACAGUUGAAUGGUGUAAGGAUUGCACAAGGAUAUAGUCACACCACUCAUGAUACAUUUGCACACCAAUCCACUUUGGAGCUGAAUAAAGGAGACCAAAUAACACUGUUCUUGGUAGCCGGAGCUAUUCACGACAGCCGUUAUCUCUACACAAAUUUUGUCGGCUGGUUAGUCGAAGAAGAUGUGUUCAACUUCAAUGUGUAGUGAUAGCUGACAUAUCAUCAUACCAAAAAUCCAGUUGUGAUUCGGAUAGAUUCCUUGCGAUUCCUCGCGAUUCCUCUAUAGUAAAUUGAGUAGAAAGUUUGCUUCAAAUUUUUUAAUGGUUACUGUAACUGACAUAGGCUAUUAUACGAUUGAAAAAUAAUACAAUAAAUCAAGUGUU